RNAcentral lists this ribosomal RNA (424 nucleotides) under Fusobacteriota bacterium. RNAcentral describes it as "Fusobacteria bacterium partial 16S ribosomal RNA". It matches the Rfam family "Bacterial small subunit ribosomal RNA", at positions 355 to 776 of the family's 1533-position model. Lineage: Bacteria; Fusobacteriati; Fusobacteriota. The record is from RNAcentral.
UGUGGAAUAUUGGUCAAUGGGCGAGAGCCUGAACCAGCCAAGUAGCGUGCAGGAUGACGGCCCUAUGGGUUGUAAACUGCUUUUAUGUGGGGAUAAAGUGCGUGACGUGUCAUGCAUUGCAGGUACCACAUGAAUAAGGACCGGCUAAUUCCGUGCCAGCAGCCGCGGUAAUACGGAAGGUCCGGGCGUUAUCCGGAUUUAUUGGGUUUAAAGGGAGCGUAGGCUGUCUAUUAAGCGUGUUGUGAAAUUUACCGGCUCAACCGGUGGCUUGCAGCGCGAACUGGUCGACUUGAGUAUGCAGGAAGUAGGCGGAAUUCAUGGUGUAGCGGUGAAAUGCUUAGAUAUCAUGACGAACUCCGAUUGCGCAGGCAGCUUACUGUAGCAUAACUGACGCUGAUGCUCGAAAGUGCGGGUAUCAAACAGG